This 253-nucleotide ribosomal RNA is filed under the name uncultured bacterium. RNAcentral's name for it is "partial 16S ribosomal RNA". It matches the Rfam family "Bacterial small subunit ribosomal RNA", at positions 524 to 776 of the family's 1533-position model. The record is from RNAcentral.
GACAGAGGGUGCAAACGUUGUUCGGAAUUACUGGGCGUAAAGCGCGUGUAGGCGGCAAGGCAAGUCGGGUGUGAAAGCCCUGGGCUCAACCCAGGAAGUGCAUUCGAUACUGCCAAGCUAGAGUCCCGGAGAGGAUGGUGGAACUCUCGGUGUAGAGGUGAAAUUCGUAGAUAUUGGGAAGAACACCGAUGGCGAAGGCAGCCAUCUGGACCGACACUGACGCUGAGGCGCGAAAGCGUGGGGAGCAAACAGG